This is a non-coding RNA of Solanum lycopersicum (tomato), 1243 nucleotides long. The record is from RefSeq and is a predicted model, not a curated record. NCBI's taxonomy places the organism in Eukaryota, Viridiplantae, Streptophyta, Magnoliopsida, Solanales, Solanaceae.
CACACGCACACAUGCGCUUACGUAAAAAUAAUAUAAAAUUAAAAGAUAUAUUUUUAAGCACAUGCAAUACAUUGACUUUGUAAAUACUUGUAGACAAUGAAAAUAUCCAUCAACUAAUGUUUGUGUUGAUUUUAUUAAUGAGGCUUUAUUGUGGCUCAGAAAAUGGCGUAAAUAUCAUUCCCUAUGACUUUUUUCUAUGAAUAAAACACUACUAGUCUUGAUGACUCUAUUGAUAAGGUUUGUAUUAAUCAAAUGUUAUUCAUUUCUAAUAGGUUCUUGUUUCAUUGUUAAUUAAUUAAAUAGAAUUGUGAUUUUCAAAAUAUUUAUCAUAUGCGUAGGUAGUAAAUAUUCUAGCGUUCGAAGAAAGUUCAAAAUUUAGUGAUGCAUGUCCAUUUGAAAAAAAAAAGUCUGUGUGGAAACAUUAAGUGGAGUUUAAAAGUUUGUUUUCCUUACAUAUAGCUCAACAUUUAGUUUGGAGAAUCUCUAAUCUUGGAUUCUUGGAGAAGGGAAAAGAGAGGUGGUUUUUUUUCCAUUUUAAAAAUUUCAAUGUUUUCUAAUAUCUGUACUAAUAUUUUUUUGUCCAACAUAACCUUUUUUUUUAUGUCCGAACGUCUAUUUAACCACUCAAUUACUUUGCUAUCCAUCAAUUGAUCUUUAUGUUGAUUUUAUUAACCAGGGUUUGUGGUGUCUCAGCAAAUAACAUGAAAAUUGCACUUUUGACUAUUUGCUACAAUGGAAUGGAUGCAUCUUUCCAUGUCUCUAGUGACAAGAUUUUUAUCAAUCAAAUAUCAUCAAUUUUUAAUUUAUUUUCUCACUUUUUCAUUGGGUUCAUAUAAGUAUAAUUUCUUAAUAUUUAUUGUGAAAGUAGGCAAAUGAUAUUCUAAAAUCUGCUAAAAGGUCAAAAAUCAAGAAUGACUUUUCAUCAAACUAUGGAGGUUAAACAUUUUUCUUUUCCUUAUCCUAUGAAAAAUAAAUUUAUAUAAUAUAUUAUUCAUUUUCAAAUUAUUUCAGUAAUGUGUUUUUUUAUUGCUCAUAGAUUCUCGGAGAAACCGAAAACAAGGCUUAAUUGUGGCUGGAAAAUGGCAUAAAUGUUAUGCCUAUGACUUUUUCUAUGAAGGAAACACUACUAGUCUCGAUGAAUCUAUUGAUAAGGCAAUAAAUAUUCUAGCGUUUGUAGAAAGUUCAAAAUUUUGUGACGCAUGUCCAUCCGAAAAAAAAGUCUGCGUGGAAACAUUAAACGGAG